CCUACGGGAGGCAGCAGUGGGGAAUAUUGGGCAAUGGACGCAAGUCUGACCCAGCAACGCCGCGUGAAGGAAGAAGGCUUUCGGGUUGUAAACUUCUUUUAAGGGGGAAGAGUAGAAGACGGUACCCCUUGAAUAAGCCACGGCUAACUACGUGCCAGCAGCCGCGGUAAU
Molecule: ribosomal RNA, 171 nt
Filed under: uncultured bacterium
Lineage: Bacteria
Description: partial 16S ribosomal RNA
Rfam family: Bacterial small subunit ribosomal RNA
Source: RNAcentral